This 497-nucleotide ribosomal RNA is filed under the name uncultured bacterium. RNAcentral's name for it is "partial 16S ribosomal RNA". It matches the Rfam family "Bacterial small subunit ribosomal RNA", at positions 28 to 507 of the family's 1533-position model. The record is from RNAcentral.
GAUGAACGCUGGCGGCGUGCCUAAUACAUGCAAGUCGAGCGAACGGACGAGAAGCUUGCUUCUCUGAUGUUAGCGGCGGACGGGUGAGUAACACGUGGAUAACCUACCUAUAAGACUGGGAUAACUUCGGGAAACCGGAGCUAAUACCGGAUGAUCUUUUGAACUGCAUGGUUCAAAAGUGAAAGACGGUCUUGCUGUCACUUAUAGAUGGAUCCGCGCUGCAUUAGCUAGUUGGUAAGGUAACGGCUUACCAAGGCAACGAUGCAUAGCCGACCUGAGAGGGUGAUCGGCCACACUGGAACUGAGACACGGUCCAGACUCCUACGGGAGGCAGCAGUAGGGAAUCUUCCGCAAUGGGCGAAAGCCUGACGGAGCAACGCCGCGUGAGUGAUGAAGGUCUUCGGAUCGUAAAACUCUGUUAUUAGGGAAGAACAUAUGUGUAAGUAACUGUGCACAUCUUGACGGUACCUAAUCAGAAAGCCACGGCUAACUACGUG